Molecule: unclassified non-coding RNA, 467 nt
Filed under: Hevea brasiliensis (rubber tree)
Lineage: Eukaryota; Viridiplantae; Streptophyta; Magnoliopsida; Malpighiales; Euphorbiaceae
Source: RNAcentral
AAUAAAAAAUAUAUAUAUUUUUUAGCUUAAGUAACAUAAGCCAGUAAUAUAAAGAUUAUUAGAUUUAUGACUCAAAAUCUUAGUGGGUUUUGGAAGAUGCCUUUUCUUGAUUUUAGUGGGAUGAAUAUUUCCUAAUAGGAAGGAGGAUUAUUUCUUAUAUGGAGUAGUAUUAUUUAUUAUGUUAUUCAUAAAUUUGAGUGGUAUUUCUAUUUAGAUUAUGAUUUUAGAAGCUAACGCUAUAAAUAGGAGUAUCGUGGAAAUGUUAUUUAACUUUCUGCUCGUAGAAAGAGGCUUUUGCCCAUUGAUAAGUAGAGUACUUAAAGUUAAGAGGAAGGGACUAUUUUCCAUUGUUGAUAGGGCUAUUGACCAUGUAGUUGAAGACAUCUAUGAAAGUGGAAAAGAAUAAGAAGAAUAGAGAAAUAUUGUUUGGAAUACUAGGCUUGAUUAUUCCCUCAAGCUAAUUGGGA